RNAcentral lists this ribosomal RNA (1731 nucleotides) under Triticum aestivum (bread wheat). RNAcentral's name for it is "partial small subunit ribosomal RNA". The record is from RNAcentral. Lineage: Eukaryota; Viridiplantae; Streptophyta; Magnoliopsida; Poales; Poaceae.
AUGCGUUGGUGUGAGUGGAUUUCGAUCCUCCUCUCCACUGCUUCGACUCGUGUUCUCCUCAAUGGCACCCCCGGACCGCCGAUCACUCAUGCCCAAGGGCUGCGCCAGGGUGACCCGGUGUCCCCCAUGCUGUUCACCCUGGUGAUUGACAAGCUUAACUCGCUCCUCGAGCAUGUCACGAACCAAGGAAUCCUCCAGCGGCUGACCACGCGCCACGCCGCGUCCAGCAUAUCCAUGUUCGCCGACGACGUGGUCAUCUUCUGCCACCCCGACGCCCAUGAGCUCUCCGCCAUCAGAAUGCUGCUCGACACUUUUGGCAACGCCUCGGGUCUUCGAACCAACUUCCUCAAGUGUUCCGCUUCACCCAUCAGAUGCGGCGACAACCACCGCGCCACCAUUGGCGCCUCCCUCUCCUGCCCGCUGGAAGAAUUUCCCAUCAAAUACCUAGGGCUACCGCUCUCAACUCGCAAAGUGCCGGCCUCCGCCCUCCUUCCACUUGUCGACAAGCUUACCAUGAAGCUCGCAACCUGGAAAGCCUCUUUGUUGUCCCGUGGCCAGCGGCUUGCUCUUGUCAGACAUGUCCUCACCGCCAUGCAUGUGCAUAUCCUGUUAGCGCUAGCGCUACACCCAGCGAUCCUCAAGAAGGUCAACAGGCUCAUUCGAGAUUUCCUUUGGCACGGCAACAAGGAUGCCUAUGCUGGUUGCUGCAUCGUCUCUUGGCAAAAGGUAUGCCGUCCCCUCGCGCUUGGUGGACUGGGGAUCCGCGAUCUGCACCGUACUAGCGUCGCCCUCCGCACCAGGUGGCUAUGGCUGCAGGGAACCGACCCUGACCGCUCCUGGAAGCAUCUCCACCCCCCGACCGAUCACGAGGCCUCUGUGCUCUUCCGUGCUUCCACGACCUGGACCAUCGGCAAUGGCAACACCUGCAAGUUCUGGCAGGAUCACUGGCUCAACGGGCGCUCCAUCCCCGAGAUUGCUCCUACCCUUUCUGCCCUCAUCCCGAGGCGCCGCCGAAGCCAACGCCUUGUCAGCGACGCUCUCAACAACAGAGGCUGGAUCGCCGACAUCCAUGGCACCUUACACCCCCGCGCGGUCAUCGAAUAUGUCGAGCUAUGGAGGCUGCUCCAAACUAUCCAGCUCUCCAACGAACCCGACAAGCUCUCCUGGAAAUGGACGGCCGAUGGGAGCUACUCCGCGCGUUCAGCCUACCACGCGUUGUUCAUCGGCGACACCACCGCACCAUUCUGGCGCCCCAUCUGGAAGACUUGGGCUCCUUCCAAUGCGAAGAUCUUCCUCUGGCUUGCCUCUCUCAACAGAUGCUGGACCGCCGACCGGAGAGCGCGCCACAACCUUCCUCAUGACCCCAUUUGCAAGCUGUGCAGCCAAGACAAUGAGACACUGCACCACCUCCUCGUCGGCUGCGUCUUCUCGCGCAUCAUUUGGCACGACAUCAUGGCAUGGUGCCGCAUUCCCGCCCUUCCCCCUGAUGGCGCUUCCAGCUUCUUCGACUGGUGGAUGGUAACGACGGCCAGCGUGCCAGCCUGCCUCCGCAAAGGGACGAACUCCAUCAUCAUCCUCACCUCUUGGGCACUUUGGAAGCAUCGCAACGCAGCUCUCUUCGACAAUGCUGCACCCUCCUAUAACAAACUUGUCGAGGACAUAAAACAGGAGGCGAAACUCUGGGCAAGAGCCGGCGCCAAAGGGCUCGGUAGGAUCAUUUCUGUAACAUAA